GCCGUAAGGAUAGGCUCCAGCUGCCCACAUGAGAUGAAACUCUUUAUGUUUCUGAAUCACGACGUAGCAUUUAAUCCAGAACAGCAGUUUAGCAUCAUCUGGAAAGGAGGGAAAAGAUUCAUGUUUAUAAAACUGUAAAUGAAGUUUUUCGUUCUGUUCCAGAGAUCUGCAGCGUCUUUAGAUCCGAUUUGGAUCAAAACUUUAAGGAAACGUUUUCAUGUCUUUUCCUGAUCCAGAUGGUUCAGUGAUGAACAUCUGUCGAGUUCUUGGUUCAGGACGUCAGAUUCAGUGGUAAAAGUUUUCUCUUCCUAAACAGAAACAAGAGUUUAUUCCUUUAGACCAGAGAGAAACUUUAGAUGAAUCUUUGAUUUGGUUCCAUCUGAAGCUGUGGAGACAUUUACCGUUCAGCAGAAAAGUCUAAUUUUGAUGCUUUUCCUCCCUUUUAAUAAAUAAAUGUCAUGUUUUCGUGUCCACAGAGAGCAGCAGCCCUCCGAUAUUCAAGCCCCGUGCCGUGGUCACCCUGAGGCUGGGCUCCGUCAGGGCUCCUCGCCGUGAGCAGAGUGGGAUGGCGCUGUCUCUGGAUUGGCUGCCUCAGACGCCGCACAACCUGCUGGCCGUUGGGUUUUACGAAGGUGUGGUGGGGCUGUGGGACCUGACCACGGCGUCCGCCUUGCUGCGCGUCCGUGAGCCGGACAGGUCUCUGAGUCUGCUGCCGCACCGCUGCUUCCUGGCUCAGGACCACGCCGUCCGCGCUCUGGCCUUCUGCCCCGCCUCCAGACACCUGCUGGCGACGGCGGGCGGGGACCGCCACGUGAAGGUGUGGGACCUGAGGAGGCGCUGCGACCCCGUCGCCGUCCAGAAACGCUUCCUGACCAAUGAAAUCUGCUGGCCGCUAACGGCUCCGGGCCUCCUGAUUUGUCAGGAGUGUGCUUUUGUGGCGAAAGGCUCUCACGGGCUUCACUUCAUCAGCCUGAGCUCGCCGUCCUAUUUCGCCAUUCCGAGGAACACGACCGUGUGGUCCAUCACCUACUCCGAGUGGUUAAACGUGGCGGUGUCGGCUGACGUGGUGGGAGAGCUGAUCCUCUCCAUCCUGCCUCAGCUGGACAGCUCGGGUCCUCUCGUCAAACGCAACAUCUUAAGACGUUUUCCCAUCUGCUUCACCUCCAUGGUUCCUCUGGAGGGACAGAAGGAGACCGCAGAGGGGGAGGAGGAAGGAGGAGUUGAGCAGCAGCAGGAGAAGGAGGAGGUGUCGAAGGAGCAGAACGGUUCUCCUGAUGGAGGGAAAGAGAACCAGGAGGUUCAAAAGGAGAACGCUCUUCUUCUGCACUUUCAGACGUACAAGGAGGGAGUGCAGAAGUACGGUCUGCACUACGCAGACAGCAACGUGAAAAACCUCAAAAACUUUGAGAAUCGACCUCCAUGGAAACAAAUGAAAAACACAGAAAACAGCACGACAGUGAACUUUGAAGACAGCACAAUGACUGCACUUCACAAGGUGCGCUUCAGUCCCAACAUGAGCAGCCAGGUGUGGCUGGCGUCCGCAGGGCAGGCGGGUCUGGUGAGACUGCACUGUCUGAGGUUCCUGAUGGGCCCCGACGCCGAGAAGAUGAUUCGCCAGAGGCGGCAGCACUUCACGGAGCGGCUGGAGGAGAGUUCACCGUGAGACCAGGAGAAGCAGCGGGCUCCUCAGGUGAUUCGUUCCAGUUUGGUUGAACUGUUGAAGUUUGUGUCCUCUGGUCCCAAACACCAUCAUGACGCUGGAACAUCCGGAUCAUUUUAGGACGAUUUAAAGAUAAGGCUGAUCUGCUGACAUCAUCAUCAUCAUCCUCAUCAUCAUCCUCACCAGAAGGUCUGAGAGUUGGAAGUGAACGCAGCAGUUUCAGGGAAUACAUCUUGGAAUUCUUCUCGUGGAUCAGAUGAGAUUUCUCCGAAUUCGCUUCUUUGUUUUCCAUCUUUACGCGCUCUCCAAGUCUGGACGGGAAAAAACCUCCUUCAGAGGGGGGGCCGG
RNA transcript from Oryzias melastigma (Indian medaka), 2008 nucleotides. It is a transcript of the gene named general transcription factor 3C polypeptide 2, with no coding region annotated. The record is from RefSeq and is a predicted model, not a curated record. The transcript has 11 exons. NCBI's taxonomy places the organism in Eukaryota, Metazoa, Chordata, Actinopteri, Beloniformes, Adrianichthyidae.